RNAcentral lists this ribosomal RNA (450 nucleotides) under uncultured Glomeromycotina. RNAcentral describes it as "SSU rRNA". It matches the Rfam family "Eukaryotic small subunit ribosomal RNA", at positions 569 to 1025 of the family's 1831-position model. Lineage: Eukaryota; Fungi; Glomeromycota. The record is from RNAcentral.
AGCAGCCGCGGUAAUUCCAGCUCCAAUAGCGUAUAUUAAAGUUGUUGCAGUUAAAAGCUCGUAGUUGAAUUUCGGGGUUAGCAGGUCGGUCGUGCCAUCGGUAUGAACUGGUCUCGCUGAUCCCUCCCUCUUGACGAACUGUGAUGCCAUUAAUUUGGUGUCUCAGGGAAUCAGGACUGUUACUUUGAAAAAUUAGAGUGUUUAAAGCAGGCUCACGCUUGAAUACAUUAGCAUGGAAUAAUGAAAUAGGACGUUUGAUCCUAUUUUGUUGGCUUCUAGGAUUGACGUAAUGAUUAAUAGGGAUAGUUGGGGGCAUUAGUAUUCAAUUGUCAGAGGUGAAAUUCUUGGAUUUAUUGAAGACUAACUACUGCGAAAGCAUUUGCCAAGGAUGUUUUCAUUAAUCAAGAACGAAAGUUAGGGGAUCGAAGACGAUCAGAUACCGUCGUAGUC